UCAAAUCAGCACGGCCCUUACGUCCGGGGCUACACACGUGUUACAAUGGGAGGUACAAAGGGUAGCUACACAGCGAUGUGAUGCGAAUCUCAAAAACCUCUCCCAGUUCGGAUUGGAGUCUGCAACCCGACUCCAUGAAGCUGGAUUCGCUAGUAAUCGCGCAUCAGCCAUGGCCGCGGUCGAAUACGUUCCCGGGCCUU
RNAcentral lists this ribosomal RNA (200 nucleotides) under uncultured prokaryote. RNAcentral describes it as "partial 16S ribosomal RNA". It matches the Rfam family "Bacterial small subunit ribosomal RNA", at positions 1185 to 1382 of the family's 1533-position model. The record is from RNAcentral.